AACAAGGUUUCCGUAGGUGAACCUGCGGAAGGAUCAUUACUGAAUUGUCAAACACGGGUUGUUGCUGGUCUUCAAACGGGGACAUGUGCACGCUCUGUUUACACAUCCAUUCACACCUGUGCACCCUCUGUAGUUCUACGGUCUGGGGGACAUCGUCUUCCUUCUGUAGCGCUGCAUCUUUACACAUACGCUGUAACAAAGUCCUAUGGAAUGUGUGCCGCGUUUAACGCAAUACAAUACAACUUUCAGCAACGGAUCUCUUGGCUCUCGCAUCGAUGAAGAACGCAGCGAAAUGCGAUAAGUAAUGUGAAUUGCAGAAUUCAGUGAAUCAUCGAAUCUUUGAACGCACCUUGCGCCCCUUGGCUAUUCCGAGGGGCAUGCCUGUUUGAGUAUCAUGAACACCUCAACUCUCAUGGUUUGCCAUGAUGAGCUUGGACUCUGGAGGUUUUGCUGGUCUUUCUGGUCGGCUCCUCUCAAAUGAAUCAGCUUGCCGGUAUCUGGUGGCAUCAUGGGUGUGAUAACUAUCUACGCUCAGAGCUGUCCACCAGGCAACCUCCAGCGAUGGAGGUUUGCUGGGGCUCACAAAUGUCUCUCCUCUGUGGAGACAGCUUUUUGAACGUUCGAUCUCAAAUCAGGUAGGAUUACCCGCUGAACUUAAGCAUAUCAAUAAGCGGAGGAAAAGAAACUAACAAGGAUUCCCCUAGUAACUGCGAGUGAAGCGGGAAGAGCUCAAAUUUAAAAUCUGGCGUGCCUCUGGUCGUCCGAGUUGUAGUCU
This 775-nucleotide ribosomal RNA is filed under the name uncultured Tomentella. RNAcentral's name for it is "eukaryotic LSU rRNA". The stretch from base 241 to 395 matches the Rfam family "5.8S ribosomal RNA". The record is from RNAcentral. Lineage: Eukaryota; Fungi; Basidiomycota; Agaricomycetes; Thelephorales; Thelephoraceae.